Molecule: ribosomal RNA, 335 nt
Filed under: Bos indicus (zebu cattle)
Lineage: Eukaryota; Metazoa; Chordata; Mammalia; Artiodactyla; Bovidae
Description: partial small subunit ribosomal RNA
Rfam family: Microsporidia small subunit ribosomal RNA
Source: RNAcentral
GGCGGUGCUUUAUAUCCUUCUAGAGGAGCCUGUUCUAUAAUCGAUAAACCCCGAUAAACCUCACCAAUUCUUGCUAAUACAGUCUAUAUACCGCCAUCUUCAGCAAACCCUAAAAAGGAAAAAAAGUAAGCGUAAUUAUGAUACAUAAAAACGUUAGGUCAAGGUGUAACCUAUGAAAUGGGAAGAAAUGGGCUACAUUCUCUACACUAAGAGAAUCAAGCACGAAAGUUAUUAUGAAACCAAUAACCAAAGGAGGAUUUAGCAGUAAACUAAGAAUAGAGUGCUUAGUUGAAUUAGGCCAUGAAGCACGCACACACCGCCCGUCACCCUCAGCA